This is a long non-coding RNA of Tachysurus vachellii, 1545 nucleotides long. RefSeq lists it as uncharacterized. NCBI's taxonomy places the organism in Eukaryota, Metazoa, Chordata, Actinopteri, Siluriformes, Bagridae. The record is from RefSeq and is a predicted model, not a curated record. The transcript is spliced from 4 exons.
GGGUUCAUACUACUUUUUAGACAUUUGCAGUAGAACUCCCCAAGAGCUGUGAAAAUAAAAUUGUUACCCUUUAAAUUUUGAAUACCAAAUCUAUUUAGCAGUUUGAUUGUAGGUACUUCAGAAGCCUACCUCAUUUGAUCUAGGUUACUCUCACAUAGUGUUUACUAAUUAUUGUCCUUUUCAUAAAUUUUCUUCUUAAAAAUCUUAUUAUGGUAAGGAUAAUGUAUUUGUUCCCUUCAGAUGUCUGCCACUGCAGCUGACGUUGAGACAACUCUGUCUUCCUGCAAGUCCUCGCCUGAUACUGCCUGCUUCAGGUGCAACAGGGCAAGUCACAAUUAAGGGUUGGAUGAUCACCUUUGAGGGCCGUGUAAUCUCUGAGGGCAUCACACCAACAUUUGCAACUGGACUUGCUGUUAUGUUUGCAAUCUACUACAUAUUCAACCUUCAGUAUCAAGAUGAGGCAGCCUGCACUUUGGAAUUUAUUCAGAGGCACUUCAUUGGUAUAAAUCCAGAGAGAGGGACAAAGGCGAAAAGGGGCAAGGUUGUCUCCAAGAAGAAAGGUGUGAUCGUCCAGAAGAAGUCUUCUGCAGUCAAUACACAUGUCGCCAUGCUACUGAAGAAUCUCCUUGAUUUUGAAUGGAACUUCAUAUAGAUCGUGGCAGCACUGGAAUAAUGCCGCAGAGAGGGAUAGUGGCUACCAAAGUGAUGGUCAUCUCUCCUGGAUCCACAAGAACUAAGAUGUAAAAACACAAGCCUACCUAACAGGACAAUUUUAAGAGGUAACCUGUAAGUCUAGCUUGCAGUGGCACAGGUGCCUACCUUAUAGUUUCAUCCCUAAAUGUUUUUAUUGAUGCAUAUUAUUGAUACAUCGUGUCAAAAUGUUCUAUAAAAGUUUCAAAAUGUUCUUCAGUAUGUUUUCAAAAUAUUGCCAAUUCUGCAUAUGUUCAAAUGUUAUUAUGAAAGUAUAUUUUUACAGACAGCAGAGAAUAUAUUGCAGAUUACAUAUAUAAAUCUUUUAAGUUGACUUUUGAGGAAAUAUUAAUCUAACUCACAGGAAUAUGUUGAGAGGAAAAACAUAUAUAUAUAAUUUUUUUCCCCCAAAAUGUGCCAAAGAUGCUUGCAUGCUGAAUGUUCUUACUCAUGUUAUAAAAAAGGUCUUAAUGUUCCUUAAAUAGUCUUAAUAGUGUAGCUUUCCAAAUAUUGCUAAUGUGUAUUUGUUGCCUUGGUCCUUUUCUUAUACCUAUUGUGUUAUUCAAGGUAAAGCUUAAAUUACUGUAAGAUAAAUCACUUCAAACUUAUGUCUUAAAUAAAAAAGUCAACUAAAGGUUAUGCCCUUCACAUAUGGUAAGGAUUAGGGUCAGUAUCUGACGGGCAAUUUAAGAAUGUACGUUUAUUACCAUAGUCUAAAGCAGACACUACUGGUUCUGUUUGUUACUAGAAAGCUCUUCUCAGCAUCAUCCAACAGGGUUUAUUUUCUUUUUUUUCCUUUCUUUUUUCAUGUUGACAUUGACAUUGCUCUUUAAAAUAAAGGUAUUUGAUUUUAAA